This 69-nucleotide transfer RNA is filed under the name Pelodiscus sinensis (Chinese soft-shelled turtle). It matches the Rfam family "tRNA". From Rfam's summary of the family: Transfer RNA (tRNA) molecules are approximately 80 nucleotides in length. Their secondary structure includes four short double-helical elements and three loops (D, anti-codon, and T loops). Lineage: Eukaryota; Metazoa; Chordata; Testudines; Trionychidae. The record is from Rfam by way of RNAcentral.
ACCUGGCUAGCUCAAUUGGCAGGGCAUGAGACAAUCUCAGGAUCAUGGGUUCAAGCCCCAUGCUGGGCA